GGGUGGACUAUGAUGAUAAAGAAAUUGAAGAAGAGGAAAUUCAGGAGGUGGAGGUGGAGGUAGAGGUUGGAGAUGAAGUGGAGGAAGAACAUGAGGGUUGUGUAGGUGAAGAAGAAGAGGGUGAUCUGGUGGAGGAGGAAUUGGAAGAUGUUGCUGAAGAACUUGAGGGUGAAGAGGAUGAUGAGCAUGCCGGUGAAGAGGCAGAUCAUGCUGAGAUGGUAGAUGGUGAGGAAGAGGAUCACCAUGAUGUUUUUAAGGAGAGACGCAAGCGAAAGGAGUUUGAAGUAUUUGUUGGAGGUUUAGACAAGGAUGCUACAGAGGAUGAUCUUCAGAAAGUGUUCAGCCGAGUUGGUGAGGUUACUGAAGUCAGGUUGAUGAUGAAUCCCCAGACCAAGAAAAACAAGGGAUUUGCAUUCUUGCGUUUUGCAACUGUGGAACAAGCAAAAAGAGCCAUUACAGAGCUCAAAAAUCCGGUGAUUAAUGGGAAAAAAUGUGGUGUUACACCAAGUCAAGACAGUGACACUCUUUUCUUGGGUAACAUUUGCAAGACAUGGACGAAAGAAGCUUUGAAAGAGAAGUUAAAACAUUAUGGAGUUGAGGAUGUUGAGGAUUUGACACUGGUAGAGGAUAGUAACAACAAGGGAAUGAAUCGUGGGUUUGCCUUUUUGGAAUUUUCAUCUCG
Molecule: unclassified non-coding RNA, 682 nt
Filed under: Hevea brasiliensis (rubber tree)
Lineage: Eukaryota; Viridiplantae; Streptophyta; Magnoliopsida; Malpighiales; Euphorbiaceae
Source: RNAcentral